GAUGAUUGGUGACGGAGCGGCGGACGGGUGAGUAACGCGUGGCUAACCUACCCUCUUGACGGGGACAACCACCGGAAAGGGCGGCUAAUACCCGAUGUUGUCUGGAACCGAUGGGUUCCUUUCCAAAGGCGGUCCUGCCGCCGCAAGAGGAUGGGGCUGCGUCCUAUUAGCUAGUUGGUGAGGUAACGGCCCACCAAGGCUUCGAUGGGUAGCUGGUCUGAGAGGACGACCAGCCACAUUGGGACUGAGAUACGGCCCAGACUCCUACGGGAGGCAGCAGUGGGGAAUCUUGGCCAAUGGACGAAAGUCUGAGCCAGCGACACCGCGUGGGGGAUGACGGCCUUCGGGUUGUAAACCUCUUUUCUGGGGAAAGAAUAAGGACGGGAGGAAAUGCCCGCCCGAUGACGGUACUCCAGGAAUAAGCAUCGGCUAACUCUGUGCCAGCAGCCGCGGUAAGACAGAGGAUGCGAGCGUUAUCCGGAAUUACUGGGCGUAAAGGGCGUCUAGGCGGUUCGGUAAGUCGUUUGUGAAAUCCCUCGGCUCAACCGAGGAGGGCCUUGCGAUACUGCCGAGCUUGGGUGCAGGAGAGGAGGUGGAACUCACAGAGUAGCGGUGGAAUGCGUAGAUACUGUGAGGUACCCCGAUGGCGAAGGCAACCCUCUGGCCUGCUACCGACGCUGAAGCGCGAAAGCGUGGGGAGCAAAGGGGAUUAGAUACCCCCGUAGUCCACGCCCUAAACAAUGUUCACUUGGUGUCGGCCGCUCAUACUGGUCGGUGCCGAAGCUAACGCGUUAAGUGAACCGCCUGAGGAGUACGGCCGCAAGGCUAAAACUCAAGAGAAUUGACGGGUCCCUGCACAAGCGUUGGAGCACGUGGUUUAAUUCGACGAUAAACGAAGAACCUCACCCAGGCUUGACAUACUAGUGGUAGGAACCUGAAAGGGGGACGACCCUGCCUUCGGGUAGGGAGCUAGUACAGGUGAUGCAUGGCUGUCGUCAGCUCGUGUCGUGGGAUGUUGGGUUCAGUCCCGAAACGAGCGCAACCCUUGUCGUUAGUUGCCAGCGGGUAAUGCCGGGGACUCUAACGAGACUGCUGGUGAAUAGCCGGGGGAAGGCGGGGAUGACGUCAAGUCAUCAUGUCCCUUACGCCUGGGGCGACACACAUGCUACAAUGGGGGGUACAGAGGGUCGCAAUCCCGUAAGGGGGAGCCAAUCCAUAAAAGCCCCUCUCAGUUCGGAUUGAGGUCUGCAACUCGACCUCAUGAAGGUGGAAUCGCUAGUAAUCGCGGGUCAGCCAUACCGCGGUGAAUAUGUACUCAGGGAUUGUACACACCGCCCGUCACACCAACCGAGUGGGGGGUACCUGAAGUCGCUCUUCUAAGGGCGCCUAAGGUAACUUCCGCAAGAGGGGUGAAGUCGUAACAAGGUA
This 1428-nucleotide ribosomal RNA is filed under the name metagenome. Its description in RNAcentral is "bacterial SSU rRNA". It matches the Rfam family "Bacterial small subunit ribosomal RNA". The record is from RNAcentral.